Molecule: ribosomal RNA, 500 nt
Filed under: uncultured bacterium
Lineage: Bacteria
Description: partial 16S ribosomal RNA
Rfam family: Bacterial small subunit ribosomal RNA
Source: RNAcentral
AUUGAACGCUGGCGGAAUGCCUUACACAUGCAAGUCGAACGGCAGCACGGACUUCGGUCUGGUGGCGAGUGGCGAACGGGUGAGUAAUGUAUCGGAACGUGCCCAGUCGUGGGGGAUAACGCAGUGAAAAUUACGCUAAUACCGCAUACGAUCUAUGGAUGAAAGCGGGGGAUCGCAAGACCUCGCGCGAUUGGAGCGGCCGAUAUCAGAUUAGGUAGUUGGUGGGGUAAAGGCCCACCAAGCUAACGAUCUGUAGCUGGUCUGAGAGGACGACCAGCCACACUGGAACUGAGACACGGUCCAGACUCCUACGGGAGGCAGCAGUGGGGAAUUUUGGACAAUGGGCGAAAGCCUGAUCCAGCCAUUCCGCGUGCAGGAUGAAGGCCCUCGGGUUGUAAACUGCUUUUGUACAGAACGAAAAGGUUUCUACUAAUACUAGGAGCUCAUGACGGUACUGUAAGAAUAAGCACCGGCUAACUACGUGCCAGCCGCCGCCGUAA